RNAcentral lists this ribosomal RNA (427 nucleotides) under uncultured bacterium. RNAcentral describes it as "partial 16S ribosomal RNA". It matches the Rfam family "Bacterial small subunit ribosomal RNA", at positions 355 to 774 of the family's 1533-position model. The record is from RNAcentral.
UGGGGAAUAUUGGACAAUGGGCGAAAGCCUGAUCCAGCCAUGCCGCGUGUGUGAAGAAGGUCUUCGGAUUGUAAAGCACUUUAAGUUGGGAGGAAGGGCAUUAACCUAAUACGUUAGUGUUUUGACGUUACCGACAGAAUAAGCACCGGCUAACUCUGUGCCAGCAGCCGCGGUAAUACAGAGGGUGCAAGCGUUAAUCGGAAUUACUGGGCGUAAAGCGCGCGUAGGUGGUUUGUUAAGUAGGAUGUGAAAUCCCCGGGCUCAACCUGGGAACUGCAUUCAAAACUGACUGACUAGAGUAUGGUAGAGGGUGGUGGAAUUUCCUGUGUAGCGGUGAAAUGCGUAGAUAUAGGAAGGAACACCAGUGGCGAAGGCGACCACCUGGACUAAUACUGACACUGAGGUGCGAAAGCGUGGGGAGCAAACA